CCUACGGGUGGCUGCAGUGGGGAAUAUUGGACAAUGGGCGAAAGCCUGAUCCAGCCAUGCCGCGUGUGUGAAGAAGGCCUUCGGGUUGUAAAGCACUUUCAGUGGGGAAGAAAGCCUUGGGGCUAAUACCCUCGAGGAAGGACAUCACCCACAGAAGAAGCACCGGCUAACUCCGAGCCAGCAGCCGCGGUAAUACGGAGGGUGCGAGCGUUAAUCGGAAUUACUGGGCGUAAAGCGCGCGUAGGCGGUCUGAUAAGCCGGUUGUGAAAGCCCCGGGCUCAACCUGGGAACGGCAUCCGGAACUGUCAGGCUAGAGUGCAGGAGAGGAAGGUAGAAUUCCCGGUGUAGCGGUGAAAUGCGUAGAGAUCGGGAGGAAUACCAGUGGCGAAGGCGGCCUUCUGGACUGACACUGACGCUGAGGUGCGAAAGCGUGGGUAGCAAACAGGAUUAGAUACCCUUGUAGUC
Molecule: ribosomal RNA, 465 nt
Filed under: Vreelandella stevensii
Lineage: Bacteria; Pseudomonadati; Pseudomonadota; Gammaproteobacteria; Oceanospirillales; Halomonadaceae
Description: partial 16S ribosomal RNA
Rfam family: Bacterial small subunit ribosomal RNA
Source: RNAcentral